GGGCCCGCACAAGCAGUGGAUUAUGUGGUUUAAUUCGAAGCAACGCGAAGAACCUUACCAGGUCUUGACAUCCAACUAACGAAAUAGAGAUAUGUUAGGUGCCCUUCGGGGAAAGUUGAGACAGGUGGUGCAUGGUUGUCGUCAGCUCGUGUCGUGAGAUGUUGGGUUAAGUCCCGCAACGAGCGCAACCCUUGCCAUUAGUUGCUACGUAAGAGCACUCUAAUGGGACCGCUACCGACAAGGUGGAGGAAGGUGGGGACGACGUCAAAUCAUCAUGCCCCUUAUGACCUGGGCUACACACGUAAUACAAUGGCCGUUAACAGAGGGAAGCAAGAUAGUGAUAUGGAGCAAAACCCUAAAAACGGUCUCAGUUCGGACUGUAGGCUGAAACCCGCCUACACGAAGUUGGAAUUGCUAGUAAUCGCGGAUCAGCAUGCCGCGGUGAAUACGUUCCCGGGCCUU
Molecule: ribosomal RNA, 462 nt
Filed under: uncultured bacterium
Lineage: Bacteria
Description: bacterial SSU rRNA
Rfam family: Bacterial small subunit ribosomal RNA
Source: RNAcentral